RNAcentral lists this small nuclear RNA (164 nucleotides) under Terrapene triunguis (Three-toed box turtle). Its description in RNAcentral is "Terrapene carolina triunguis (Three-toed box turtle) U1 spliceosomal RNA (ENSTMTG00000018362.1)". It matches the Rfam family "U1 spliceosomal RNA". From Rfam's summary of the family: U1 is a small nuclear RNA (snRNA) component of the spliceosome (involved in pre-mRNA splicing). Its 5' end forms complementary base pairs with the 5' splice junction, thus defining the 5' donor site of an intron. There are significant differences in sequence and secondary structure between metazoan and yeast U1 snRNAs, the latter being much longer (568 nucleotides as compared to 164 nucleotides in human). Lineage: Eukaryota; Metazoa; Chordata; Testudines; Emydidae. The record is from RNAcentral.
UCACUUGACCACAGCUCAAAGAUACCAUGAUCAUCAAGGUGGUUUUCCCUGGGUGAGGCUCAUCCAUUGCACUGUGGGUGUGCUGACCCCUGUGAUUUCCCCAAAUGCAGGAAACUCAACUGCAGACUUUGUGGUAGUGGGGAACUGCGUUCAUGCUUUCCCCU